UACGUAGGGGGCUAGCGUUGUCCGGAUUUAUUGGGCGUAAAGAGCGCGUAGGCGGCCGAGUAAGUCCGACGUGAAAUCUGGAGGCUCAACCUCCAGCGGUCGUUGGAAACUACUCGGCUAGAGUCCGGGAGAGGAGAGUGGAAUUCCUGGUGUAGCGGUGAAAUGCGCAGAUAUCAGGAAGAACACCCGUGGCGAAAGCGGCUCUCUGGAACGGUACUGACGCUGAGACGCGAAAGCGUGGGGAGCGAACAGG
RNAcentral lists this ribosomal RNA (253 nucleotides) under uncultured bacterium. RNAcentral's name for it is "partial 16S ribosomal RNA". It matches the Rfam family "Bacterial small subunit ribosomal RNA", at positions 524 to 776 of the family's 1533-position model. The record is from RNAcentral.